Molecule: ribosomal RNA, 497 nt
Filed under: uncultured bacterium
Lineage: Bacteria
Description: partial 16S ribosomal RNA
Rfam family: Bacterial small subunit ribosomal RNA
Source: RNAcentral
GAUGAACGCUGGCGGCGUGCCUAAUACAUGCAAGUCGAGCGAACAGACGAGGAGCUUGCUCCUCUGACGUUAGCGGCGGACGGGUGAGUAACACGUGGAUAACCUACCUAUAAGACUUGGAUAACUUCGGGAAACCGGAGCUAAUACCGGAUAAUAUAUUGAACCGCAUGGUUCAAUAGUUAAAGACGGUUUUGCUGUCACUUAUAGAUGGAUCCGCGCCGCAUUAGCUAGUUGGUAAGGUAACGGCUUACCAAGGCAACGAUGCGUAGCCGACCUGAGAGGGUGAGAGGCAACACUGGAACUGAGACACGGACAAGAGUACUACGGGAGGCAGCAGUAGGGAAUAUUACGCAAUGGGAGAAAGCAUGACGGAGCAACGCAGCGUGAGUGAUGAAGGUCUUCGGAUCGUAAAAAUCUGUUAUGAGGGAAGAACAAAUGUGUAAGUAACUAUGCACGUCUUGACGGUAACUAAUCAGAAAGCAACGGCUAACUACGUG